GGGAUUAUAGUAUAGUGGUUAGUAUAUCUCAUUGUGGUCAAGCGACUCAAAAUUCUGAGACGACGCAGGUUCGAUUCCUGCUAAUCCCA
Molecule: non-coding RNA, 89 nt
Organism: Lasiosphaeris hirsuta
Lineage: Eukaryota; Fungi; Ascomycota; Sordariomycetes; Sordariales; Lasiosphaeriaceae
Source: the annotation of a GenBank genome assembly